Molecule: ribosomal RNA, 386 nt
Filed under: uncultured bacterium
Lineage: Bacteria
Description: bacterial SSU rRNA
Rfam family: Bacterial small subunit ribosomal RNA
Source: RNAcentral
AUUGAACGCUGGCGGCAUGCCUUACACAUGCAAGUCGAACGGCAGCACGGGAGCAAUCCUGGUGGCGAGUGGCGAACGGGUGAGUAAUAUAUCGGAACGUGCCCAGUCGUGGGGGAUAACGUAGCGAAAGCUACGCUAAUACCGCAUACGAUCUACGGAUGAAAGCGGGGGAUCGCAAGACCUCGCGCGAUUGGAGCGGCCGAUAUCAGAUUAGCUAGUUGGUGGGGUAAAAGCUCACCAAGGCGACGAUCUGUAGCUGGUCUGAGAGGACGACCAGCCACACUGGAACUGAGACACGGUCCAGACUCCUACGGGAGGCAGCAGUGGGGAAUUUUGGACAAUGGGCGCAAGCCUGAUCCAGCAAUGCCGCGUGCAGGAUGAAGGCC